UGGAUCCAGACUUUGAUUAUGGCUCAGGAUGAACGCUAGCUACAGGCUUAACACUUGCAAGUCGAGGGGCAGCAUGUCGGUAGCUUGCUACCGAUGAUGGCGACCGGCGCACGGGUGAGUAACGCGUAUCCAACCUGCCAUUGUCCCGCGCAUAACCCGGUGAAAACCGGACUAAUUCGCGAUGUGUCCCGUUGAGGCAUCGAUUCGGGAUGAAAGACUUGUCGGACAGUGAUGGGGAUGCGUCUGAUUAGCUUGCCGGCGGGGUAACGGCCCACCGGGGUGACGAUCAGUAGGGGUUCUGAGAGGAAGGUCCCCCACAUUGGAACUGAGACACGGUCCAAACUCCUACGGGAGGCAGCAGUGAGGAAUAUUGGUCAAUGGGCGAGAGCCUGAACCAGCCAAGUAGCGUGCAGGAUGACGGCCCUACGGGUUGUAAACUGCUUUUAUGCGGGGAUAAAGUCGAUCACGUGUGAUUGUUUGCAGGUACCGCAUGAAUAAGGACCGGCUAAUUCCGUGCCAGCAGCCGCGGUAAUACGGAAGGUCCGGGCGUUAUCCGGAUUUAUUGGGUUUAAAGGGAGCGUAGGCCGCCGAUUAAGCGUGUUGUGAAAUGCCGUGGCUCAACCAUGGCACUGCAGCGCGAACUGGUUGGCUUGAGUGCGCGGAAGGCAGGCGGAAUUCGUGGUGUAGCGGUGAAAUGCUUAGAUAUCACGAAGAACCCCGAUUGCGAAGGCAGCCUGCCGCAGCGCUACUGACGCUGAAGCUCGAAGGUGCGGGUAUCGAGCAGGAUUAGAUACCCUGGUAGUCCGCACGGUAAACGAUGGAUGCCCGCUGUGUGCCAUUAUGGUACGCGGCCAAGCGAAAGCGUUAAGCAUCCCACCUGGGGAGUACGCCGGCAACGGUGCAACUCAAAUGAAUUGACGGA
Molecule: ribosomal RNA, 922 nt
Filed under: uncultured Bacteroidota bacterium
Lineage: Bacteria; Pseudomonadati; Bacteroidota
Description: bacterial SSU rRNA
Rfam family: Bacterial small subunit ribosomal RNA
Source: RNAcentral